This 138-nucleotide small nucleolar RNA is filed under the name Ornithorhynchus anatinus (platypus). The record is from RNAcentral. Lineage: Eukaryota; Metazoa; Chordata; Mammalia; Monotremata; Ornithorhynchidae.
CCCCUCUCAGGGUCGCACCUGGAGAGUUUCCAGUACUCUAUCAGUCUUGACUACAGGAGGGAGAGUCAAGCAGAGGCAUAUCCAUUCCAUUCCUAGCUUGGUCGGUGGCCAGCGAGUGGAAGGCCAUCUGCUACAAGU